This is a long non-coding RNA of Pseudophryne corroboree (corroboree frog), 601 nucleotides long. RefSeq lists it as uncharacterized. NCBI's taxonomy places the organism in Eukaryota, Metazoa, Chordata, Amphibia, Anura, Myobatrachidae. The transcript is spliced from 3 exons. The record is from RefSeq and is a predicted model, not a curated record.
ACUGAUGCUGGUCCCGCCCGCAAGCCAUUUUAACACCCACCACUAUCAGAACACUGCAAAGACUCCCAGAGGAAGACCGAUCCGGUUGAAACACGUUGGAGGAGACGACUAAGAGACAUCAAACCAUUGGAGGAUAGGAGAGUGCUGUGAGACCCUCGGACCUACGGCGCAGACAUCGCACUGAUGUUUUAUCAGUAUUUCCUUUGAGAUCAGAGAUGACCUUGAUUUCAUAUCACUGAGCCCUGACCUGCCAUAGUGAAGCGCUCUGAAGGAAUACAUACUGUAUGUUGAGCAGUGCUGGAGUUUGCAGUAGGGGAAGGACAGAGGAGGGAAACAGAGGCUUGCUGGGCGACUUAUAAUGCCAUUUGUCUUCUCUGGGAGAGCUAUGCCCUAAUGCAAGUACAAAGUUAAUUAUUGCAUUGUACAGUGCAUUAACAUUAAAUCUUAGGCAGGUGCUUGAUGGUGUGCAUUUAUCACAUGCUGACACAAAGUACAACCUUUAAUAUCACAUGUACAAAUAUUGUGGUUAUGCUGGAUAGAAUCAUAGCUUUCCAAGACACUUUGUACAGAAAUGUUUAAGUAAAUAUGCAAGAAAAUAAAA